CCUACGGGUGGCAGCAGUGAGGAAUAUUGGUCAAUGGACGAGAGUCUGAACCAGCCAAGUAGCGUGAAGGAUGACUGCCCUCUGGGUUGUAAACUUCUUUUAUAUGGGAAUAAAACGUUCCACGUGUGGGAUUUUGUAUGUACCAUAUGAAUAAGGAUAGGCUAACUCCGUGCCAGCAGCCGAGGUAAUACGGAGGAUCCGAGCGUUAUCCGGAUUUAGUGGGUUGAAAGGGAGCGUAGGUGGAUUGUUCAGUCAGUUGUGAAAGUUUGCGGCGCAACCGUAAAAUUGCAGUUGAAACUGGCAGUCUUGAGUACAGUAGAGGUGGGCGGAAUUCGUGGUGUAGCGGUGAAAUGCUUAGAUAUCACGAAGAACUCCGAUUGCGAAGGCAGUUCACUGGACUGCAACUGACACUGAGGCUCGAAAGUGUGGGUAUCAAACAGGAUUAGAUACCCUGGUAGUC
This 460-nucleotide ribosomal RNA is filed under the name uncultured bacterium. Its description in RNAcentral is "partial 16S ribosomal RNA". It matches the Rfam family "Bacterial small subunit ribosomal RNA", at positions 338 to 795 of the family's 1533-position model. The record is from RNAcentral.